AUCUUGUACUGACUCUCCCUGCUGGCGAUGACCAGCUGGCCGCUGGUGCAGGCCUCGUCACUGUCAGAACAUGGAGAGAGAGCAGGGGCCGCACUCCGACUCCUCGUGUCUCACCUGAAGAAGAGGCGGAGGGACCUCAUGUGACCCAGGUCGACCCGGAAGACUCCGCACAGCUGCUCCAGGGCCAUCACCUUCUGCUGCUCCUCCCACCGCACCCCCUGCGAUUGGCUGUUCUCAGAGGGGGCGUGGCUGUCCAGGCUGGAGGCGGAGCUGGCUGAAUGAGUCAUAGACUCGUCGCACAUGUCCCUAAGUUCCUGUCAUUCUCUCCUCCCUCAUUUACUCCCCCCCUCCCCCCCGUUCCCG
Long non-coding RNA from Anguilla anguilla (European eel), 363 nucleotides. RefSeq lists it as uncharacterized. The record is from RefSeq and is a predicted model, not a curated record. The transcript has 3 exons. Lineage: Eukaryota; Metazoa; Chordata; Actinopteri; Anguilliformes; Anguillidae.